RNAcentral lists this ribosomal RNA (501 nucleotides) under Triticum aestivum (bread wheat). RNAcentral describes it as "partial small subunit ribosomal RNA". The record is from RNAcentral. Lineage: Eukaryota; Viridiplantae; Streptophyta; Magnoliopsida; Poales; Poaceae.
AUGGAUGAGAGGGCUCGCGAUGAGCGGCACGGCAGAGGGAAGCAUGGUACGGAAGCACGCGGCGUGCAGCAUCCGGCACAGGAGGACGUGCGCGCGGCCGCGGGAGCAGCACUUGAAGAGGAAGUGGAACGUGAAGGCGUCGGGGGGCACGCCCCCCCGGCGCAUACGCCGGUAGAGGAGGAACGGGUGCUCAGGUCCCGAGGAGGCGCGGAAGCAAGCGCGGAGCGCGGUGUCGAAGAGGAAGGUGGAGCAGGGCAUUCGGUCGAACAGGCUGAGCGCGUAGCGGAGGUGGAGCGGGUCGCCGGGGGAAAUGCAGCUGGCGAGGGAGUUGAGGAGGUGCGCGGCGGAGGGCUGGUUGAGGAGGCGGCCGGAGGCGGUGAGGACAGCGUGGAGCUCCGUGGCCUGCCGGACGGAGCGAGGGGUCGGCCAUGGCGCCCGGGUCAUCUCACGUCGCGGCUGCUCGCGACGAAGAAAGACGGCCGUGUUUUCUUUAUUUUAUGA